GAAGAAGGCCUUCGGGUUGUAAAGCACUUUUGUCCGGAAAGAAAUCCUGAGGGCUAAUAUCCUUCGGGGAUGACGGUACCGGAAGAAUAAGCACCGGCUAACUACGUGCCAGCAGCCGCGGUAAUACGUAGGGUGCGAGCGUUAAUCGGAAUUACUGGGCGUAAAGCGUGCGCAGGCGGUUUGUUAAGACCGAUGUGAAAUCCCCGGGCUCAACCUGGGAACUGCAUUGGUGACUGGCAAGCUAGAGUAUGGCAGAGGGGGGUAGAAUUCCACGUGUAGCAGUGAAAUGCGUAGAGAUGUGGAGGAAUACCGAUGGCGAAGGCAGCCCCCUGGGCCAAUACUGACGCUCAUGCACGAAAGCGUGGGGAGCAAACAGGAUUAGAUACCCUGGUAGUCCAACGCCCUAAACGAUGUCACUAGUUGUUGGGGGAUUCAUUUCCUUAGUAACGUAGCUUACGCGUGAAAGUUUGACCGCCUGGGGGAGGUACGGUCCGCAAGAUUAAAACUCAAAGGAAUUGACGGGGACCCGCACAAGCGGUGGAUGAUGUGGAUUAAUUCGAUGCAACGCGAAAAAACUUACCUACCCUUGACAUGGUCGGAACCUUGGAGAGAUCUGGGGGUGCUCGAAAGAGAAC
This 635-nucleotide ribosomal RNA is filed under the name Burkholderia sp. 6SC. RNAcentral describes it as "bacterial SSU rRNA". It matches the Rfam family "Bacterial small subunit ribosomal RNA", at positions 407 to 1027 of the family's 1533-position model. The record is from RNAcentral. Lineage: Bacteria; Pseudomonadati; Pseudomonadota; Betaproteobacteria; Burkholderiales; Burkholderiaceae.